Molecule: ribosomal RNA, 253 nt
Filed under: uncultured bacterium
Lineage: Bacteria
Description: partial 16S ribosomal RNA
Rfam family: Bacterial small subunit ribosomal RNA
Source: RNAcentral
UACGUAGGUGACCAGCGUUGUCCGGAUUUACUGGGCGUAAAGAGCGCGCAGGCGGUCGUUCAAGUCGAGUGUGAAAGCCCCCGGCUCAACUGGGGAGGGUCAUUCGAUACUGAUCGACUGGAAGGCAGGAGAGGGAAGCGGAAUUCCCGGUGUAGUGGUGAAAUGCGUAGAUAUCGGGAGGAACACCAGUGGCGAAGGCGGCUUCCUGGCCUGCUCUUGACGCUGAGGCGCGAAAGCUAGGGGAGCAAACGGG